Molecule: long non-coding RNA, 241 nt
Filed under: Lathyrus oleraceus (garden pea)
Lineage: Eukaryota; Viridiplantae; Streptophyta; Magnoliopsida; Fabales; Fabaceae
Description: Pisum sativum (pea) long non-coding RNA (PSAT_LNC018093)
Source: RNAcentral
CAUUUUGAGGUGUUUGUGACUUUGCCCUUCUAAUUCUCCUCCUCCUCUACAACAAAAUUUUAGCACACACAAAGAAAAAGAAAAAUGACAUAAAUUAGCAAUCAAACGCGUGGGUUGCCUCCCACGAAGCGCUUUGUUUAACGUUGUAUGGCUCGACGGUUCAUUUCCCUUAUCAUGGGGGGUAUUUUAGGUUCAAAACCUUGUUGCACCUCUUGUCUAUAACUCGGAUGUUGUCUCUUUU